This 253-nucleotide ribosomal RNA is filed under the name uncultured bacterium. Its description in RNAcentral is "partial 16S ribosomal RNA". It matches the Rfam family "Bacterial small subunit ribosomal RNA", at positions 524 to 776 of the family's 1533-position model. The record is from RNAcentral.
GACGAAGGGGGCAAGCGUUGUUCGGAAUUAUUGGGCGUAAAGCGCUCGCAGGCGGCUUGCUACGUCAUGCGUGAAACACCCCGGCUCAACUGGGGAGGGUCGUGUGAUACGGGCAGGCUUGAGGCCAGUAGGGGGAUGCGGAAUUCCGGGUGUAGUGGUGGAAUGCGUAGAGAUCCGGAGGAACACCAGCGGCGAAGGCGGCAUCCUGGACUGGUACUGACGCUCAUGAGCGAAAGCGUGGGGAGCGAUCCGG